GAUUCCCCUAGUAACGGCGAGUGAAGCGGGAUGAGCUCAAAUUUGAAAGCUUGCAGCAAUGCACGCGUUGUAAUCUCGAGAAAUGUUUUCCGUGCUGGWCCAUGGACAAGUUCCUUGGAAUAGGAUGUCAUAGAGGGUGAGAACCCCGUCUUUGCCAUGGACGCCCAGUGCUUUGUGAUACAUUUUCGAAGAGUCGAGUUGUUUGGGAAUGCAGCUCAAAAUGGGUGGUAAAUUCCAUCUAAAGCUAAAUAUUGGGGAGAGACCGAUAGCAAACAAGUACCGUGAGGGAAAGAUGAAAAGCACUUUGGAAAGAGAGUUAAACAGUACGUGAAAUUGUCAAAAGGGAAGCGCUUCAAGUCAGACGUGUAGUGCGGUACUCAGCCUUACGGCGUUUUUACCGUUUUACUAGCCAGCAUCGAUUUUGAGCAACGGAUAAGGGUGUGGGGAACGUGGCACCUCGGGUGUGUUAUAGMCUUACACUGGAUACGUCGCUUGGGAUCGAGGAACGCAGUGCACCCGCAAGGGCAGGUCUUCGGACACUCU
This 543-nucleotide ribosomal RNA is filed under the name Kordyana tradescantiae. Its description in RNAcentral is "LSU rRNA". It matches the Rfam family "Eukaryotic large subunit ribosomal RNA", at positions 73 to 512 of the family's 3401-position model. The record is from RNAcentral. Lineage: Eukaryota; Fungi; Basidiomycota; Exobasidiomycetes; Exobasidiales; Brachybasidiaceae.